RNAcentral lists this ribosomal RNA (587 nucleotides) under uncultured bacterium. RNAcentral describes it as "partial 16S ribosomal RNA". It matches the Rfam family "Bacterial small subunit ribosomal RNA", at positions 355 to 937 of the family's 1533-position model. The record is from RNAcentral.
UGGGGAAUUUUGGACAAUGGGCGAAAGCCUGAUCCAGCAAUGCCGCGUGUGUGAAGAAGGCCUUCGGGUUGUAAAGCACUUUUGUCCGGAAAGAAAUCCUUGGCUCUAAUACAGUCGGGGGAUGACGGUACCGGAAGAAUAAGCACCGGCUAACUACGUGCCAGCAGCCGCGGUAAUACGUAGGGUGCAAGCGUUGAUCGGAAUUACUGGGCGUAAAGCGUGCGCAGGCGGUUUGCUAAGACCGACGUGAAAUCCCCGGGCUCAACCUGGGAACUGCAUUGGUGACUGGCAGGCUAGAGUAUGGCAGAGGGGGGUAGAAUUCCACGUGUAGCAGUGAAAUGCGUAGAGAUGUGGAGGAAUACCGAUGGCGAAGGCGAGCCCCCUGGGCCAAUACUGACGCUCAUGCACGAAAGCGUGGGGGAGCAAAACAGGAUUAGAUACCCUGGUAGUCCACGCCCUAAACGAUGUCAACUAGUUGUUGGGGAUUCAUUUCCUUAGUAACGUAGCUAACGCGUGAAGUUGACCGCCUGGGGAGUACGGUCGCAAGAUUAAAACUUAAAUGAAUUGACGGGGUCAUAGCUGUUUCC